RNAcentral lists this ribosomal RNA (329 nucleotides) under uncultured eukaryote. RNAcentral's name for it is "partial 18S ribosomal RNA". It matches the Rfam family "Eukaryotic small subunit ribosomal RNA", at positions 1470 to 1796 of the family's 1831-position model. The record is from RNAcentral.
CCCUUAGAUGUUCUGGGCCGCACGCGCGCUACACUGAUGCAUUCAACGAGUCUAAAACCUGCUCUGAUAGGGGUGGGUAAUCUUUUGAAUGUGCAUCGUGAUUGGGAUAGAUGAUUGCAAUUUUUCAUCUUCAACGAGGAGUGCCUAGUAAACGCAAGUCAUCAGCUUGCAUUGAUUACGUCCCUGCCCUUUGUACACACCGCCCGUCGCUCCUACCGAUUGAAUGAUCCGAUGAAUAUCAUGGAUUGAGGAUGCAAGUAGGUUCACCUAUCUUCAUCUUCGAGAAGUGAAGUAAAUCUUAUCAUUUAGAGGAAGGAGAAGUCGUAACA